GAUGAACGCUGGCGGCGUGCCUAAUACAUGCAAGUCGAGCGAACAGAUGAGGAGCUUGCUCCUCUGACGUUAGCGGCGGACGGGUGAGUAACACGUGGAUAACCUACCUAUAAGACUGGGAUAACUUCGGGAAACCGGAGCUAAUACCGGAUAAUAUAUUGAACCGCAUGGUUCAAUAGUGAAAGACGGUUUUGCUGUCACUUAUAGAUGGAUCCGCGCCGCAUUAGCUAGUUGGUAAGGUAACGGCUUACCAAGGCAACGAUGCGUAGCCGACCUGAGAGGGUGAUCGGCCACACUGGGACUGAGACACGGUCCAGACUCCUACGGGAGGCAGCAGUAGGGAAUCUUCCGCAAAGGGCGAAAGCCUGACGGAGCAACGCCGCGUGAGUGAUGAAGGUCUUCGGAUCGUAAAACUCUGUUAUUAGGGAAGAACAAAUGUGUAAGUAACUAUGCACGUCUUGACGGUACCUAAUCAGAAAGCCACGGCUAACUACGUG
RNAcentral lists this ribosomal RNA (497 nucleotides) under uncultured bacterium. Its description in RNAcentral is "partial 16S ribosomal RNA". It matches the Rfam family "Bacterial small subunit ribosomal RNA", at positions 28 to 507 of the family's 1533-position model. The record is from RNAcentral.